AAUAGAUACCCGGUAGUCCACGCCGUAAACGAUGAGUGCUAAGUGUUAGAGGGUUUCCGCCCUUUAGUGCUGCAGCUAACGCAUUAAGCACUCCGCCUGGGGAGUACGGCCGCAAGGCUGAAACUCAAAGGAAUUGACGGGGGCCCGCACAAGCGGUGGAGCAUGUGGUUUAAUUCGAAGCAACGCGAAGAACCUUACCAGGUCUUGACAUCCUCUGCCAACCCUAGAGAUAGGGCGUUCCCCUUCGGGGGACAGAGUGACAGGUGGUGCAUGGUUGUCGUCAGCUCGUGUCGUGAGAUGUUGGGUUAAGUCCCGCAACGAGCGCAACCCUUGAUCUUAGUUGCCAGCAUUCAGUUGGGCACUCUAAGGUGACUGCCGGUGACAAACCGGAGGAAGGUGGGGAUGACGGUCAAAUCAUCAUGCCCCUUAUGACCUGGGCUACACACGUGCUACAAUGGAUGGUACAAAGAGCUGCGAACCCGCGAGGGUAAGCGAAUCUCAUAAAGCCAUUCUCAGUUCGGA
This 522-nucleotide ribosomal RNA is filed under the name uncultured bacterium. RNAcentral describes it as "bacterial SSU rRNA". It matches the Rfam family "Bacterial small subunit ribosomal RNA", at positions 777 to 1297 of the family's 1533-position model. The record is from RNAcentral.